Oncorhynchus tshawytscha (Chinook salmon) is the source of this 1259-nucleotide long non-coding RNA. The record is from Ensembl. NCBI's taxonomy places the organism in Eukaryota, Metazoa, Chordata, Actinopteri, Salmoniformes, Salmonidae.
UUUUUUUAUUAAGCUUUAGCUUAAUAAGCCAUUAUUAAGUUUUAGCUACUGCAGGCCUAUGAUAUGACAGCAGUGCACCCCAGUGUUCCAACUGACUCUGACAGUUGAAUUUGAGGGGAGGAAGACUGUUUCAGGCCUACCAGAGUUUUACUCCUGUAAUCUAACAAUAUAAUGCCUAUCUUUAUACAAAAUAUUUUGAUUAAAAAAUAUAUAUAUGAAUUAGCCUCCUGUAUGUCUAUAUCUGUAUAGCAGACGUAGCAUGCCACUGGCAUUUCUCUAUCUAUAUCUCUCUGGGGUGAGGCCUAAGCUUUUCUUAUUUUAUAUAGGCUAUAUAUAUAUAUUUAAAAAUAUAUCUUUCAUUUUUUUUAUUUGUUAUAGGCUGUUUUUGAAGACGUAAAUGUGGCUCCUUUGGUCAAUAUCUCUCAUUUAUUGAUGGCGGGUCUGAAUGCAUAUGGAUGUCUGAUACAUUUUCUCAAAUGUCUGUUACAGUCUUGUCCCAUCACUGCAACUCCCCUACGAACUCGGGAGAGGCGAAGGUUGAGAGCCAUGCGUCCUCUGAAACACAACCCUGCCAAGCCACACUGCUCACUUAACCUGGCCACACGAAUAUGUCAGAGGAAACACUGUCCAACUGGUGACUGAAGGCAACUUGUAGGCUCUCCUCCACAAGGAGCCUCUAGAGUGUGAUGGAACAAGGAAAUCCCAGCCAGCCAAACCCUCCCCUAACCCGGACGACGCUGGGCCAAUUGUGUGCUGCCUCAUGAGUCUCCCGGGUCACAGCCAGCUGUGACACAGCCUGGGAUUGAACCCAGGUCUAUAAUGACACCUCAAGCACUGCAAUGCCUUAUACUGCUGCGCCACUCAGGAGGCCCUAGGCAUAUUGUUUUUAUGACGAUUUUUGAAUAUUGGCAUGAAAAUCUGUCGCCAAUUGGAUGGAAACCUAGCUAAUGUGCUAGUCCAGUGUCACUUUGAAUAUGCCUGCACAUCAUGGUUCACCAGCAGCCCCAAACAUCUAAAAAAAAAAAAAAAGCUUAUUUAGCGGUCUAAGGCAUUGCAGUGCUUGAGGUACCAGCCAAACAAGCUUGCAAUAAUUGUACUUAAACUCCCCCCUCAUACUCAUCUGGAGGAUGAGCAUUUUUUCAUUUCUGUCUCUGUAAUGUGUCUGUAUCUAUGUAAUUACAUAUGUAUUUAUGUAAAAAGAAUAGGGACAACAAUAUAUGUAUUUUUUUUUUUACUGACAAAUAAAAUCUAUCAAUCAA